Lutra lutra (Eurasian river otter) is the source of this 1682-nucleotide RNA transcript. It is a transcript of the gene named translation initiation factor IF-2-like, with no coding region annotated. The record is from RefSeq and is a predicted model, not a curated record. NCBI's taxonomy places the organism in Eukaryota, Metazoa, Chordata, Mammalia, Carnivora, Mustelidae. The transcript is spliced from 3 exons.
AGACGCGGCGAGGGGGCGGGGCCCUGCCUGGUCCGCCCCGCCCCGGCCCGCUGGGGGCACCCACCGCCCCCAGCCCGGCCCGGGCCCCCGCCCGCGCUGUCGGAAAGGAGGCCGGGCGCAGACGUCGCCCGGCGGUGGAGAGCAAGUUAGGGUGGGGGAUGCGCCCUGGAGCCCGGCGACGCAGCGGUGGGGCGCCGCGGGGCAGCAGGUUCACGCGGCCCGGUGGGGGGAGCCAGGUGGCAGCGAGAAGGGCUAGUGGGACCAGGAGUUUCUUCCACGAGGAACGGGAAGGUUUGUGGGUCCUGUAAGUCUCUAGACGCCCCUGCCCCCAACCCCUAUCCGAUACAGUAGCCACUGUCCGCAAGUUGCUGUCGAGCCCUGAAACCAACUUGCGAGUCCAAAUAGAGAGGCGCUGAAGAGUACCCCGGAUUCUGAAGACUCGCUACAAAAAGAAGAUAUAAAAUAGCUCACUCGUGAUGUUCACUGGUCCAGAGGUCCUGCAGAGGAAGUGACAACCGGCCGGGCUAUCCCAGCAGCGCCCAGGAAGGAAACAGAAGUUUGCUACUGAAAAGGUUUGGAAACUGCAGGACUAAGUGAUCACCAAGGUUUGGCAUCCUUUCACAUGCAUAUGCUUGUAUACAAUCUGUGUGUGUGUGUGUGUGUGUGUGUGUGUGUGUGUGUGUGUGUGUGUGUGUUGUGGGAAGGAGCACUGAGAGAUUCUCCUAAGGCUUUGUCUUAGGGACCCAGCUCCACUUCAAGUCUCUCCACAUCUCAAGAACUUAAAAUCCUUUGGGUCUUAGCCUGCGGUCUGCCUCACCGGGAGCAUUUCCCAGUGACCUGUGACCAAACGCUGCCUCAGCACCCAGGGAGCUCUGUGGACGGGGGGGUGCUGGCCUCCCACCACUGUAUCCCCAAGUACUGGAACAGGGUAAGCUCUCUAAACAUUGGCUGACCACCUAAAAUUGGGUAACUAUUCCUCUUUCCCCCCCACCCCCACCUCCUCAUCUGCCCUCCCUGCUGUCCCUUGGGGAAGGGGCAGUCCUUAUAUUGGGGAAUUCCUGGGUUAGCAGUCGAGAAACUUGCAUGUAGCUUCAGGCUUCAAAUGAACAGCCUCUUCUAGAACGUUCUCUUUCGCUGAAAGGGUUGAAAUGAUCUUCACUGGCACCCACACACGAUGUCCUCCUUCUGAUCUUCUGGUCAGAUCUGCACCCUCUCCAGCCACAUUCACACUCCAGGUCCCUGUCUGCACUCCCUGGGAGGCCUUAGCCAAGUCACCCAAAACCAGGGGACCCCCUCGUCUGUCAGCCUCCACUGAACCCAGGGUCCACUAGAUCUCACCCAUCGUUUUUCCACUGCUUGGUUUUCCCUGCCUGCUCUUCGGUAGUCCCCUCACCCCUACUUCUAACAGCUGACCUCCUCUGUGGUUUGGCCUCCCCGCAGACUAGGAGCAUCGGGCCAUGAAGGGGGCAAUCACGUCCCGUGUUGAUGAGCUGGAUUACCAAGCUGAGUGCUCGGGACCUCAGCACAGGACAAGCCGGCUUUGCCCCUGACUUUCUGCCCUUCCUCUGCAUCUCCGUGCUCACCCAGCCCCUGAAGAGGAGGCAGCAGCUGGGACCCUGCAAGGCUAGCCCUGCUUCCGGGGCCCGGGGUUGAGGGAAGGGCAGCGGGUCUCUGCUGUUUCC